RNAcentral lists this ribosomal RNA (2902 nucleotides) under Escherichia albertii. RNAcentral's name for it is "23S ribosomal RNA". It matches the Rfam family "Bacterial large subunit ribosomal RNA". Lineage: Bacteria; Pseudomonadati; Pseudomonadota; Gammaproteobacteria; Enterobacterales; Enterobacteriaceae. The record is from RNAcentral.
GGUUAAGCGACUAAGCGUACACGGUGGAUGCCCUGGCAGUCAGAGGCGAUGAAGGACGUGCUAAUCUGCGAAAAGCGUCGGUAAGGUGAUAUGAACCGUUAUAACCGGCGAUGUCCGAAUGGGGAAACCCAGUGUGUUUCGACACACUAUCAUUAACUGAAUCCAUAGGUUAAUGAGGCGAACCGGGGGAACUGAAACAUCUAAGUACCCCGAGGAAAAGAAAUCAACCGAGAUUCCCCCAGUAGCGGCGAGCGAACGGGGAGGAGCCCAGAGCCUGAAUCAGUGUGUGUGUUAGUGGAAGCGUCUGGAAAGGCGUGCGAUACAGGGUGACAGCCCCGUACACAAAAAUGCACAUGCUGUGAGCUCGAUGAGUAGGGCGGGACACGUGGUAUCCUGUCUGAAUAUGGGGGGACCAUCCUCCAAGGCUAAAUACUCCUGACUGACCGAUAGUGAACCAGUACCGUGAGGGAAAGGCGAAAAGAACCCCGGCGAGGGGAGUGAAAAAGAACCUGAAACCGUGUACGUACAAGCAGUGGGAGCCUCUUUAUGGGGUGACUGCGUACCUUUUGUAUAAUGGGUCAGCGACUUAUAUUCUGUAGCAAGGUUAACCGAAUAGGGGAGCCGGAGGGAAACCGAGUCUUAACUGGGCGUUAAGUUGCAGGGUAUAGACCCGAAACCCGGUGAUCUAGCCAUGGGCAGGUUGAAGGUUGGGUAACACUAACUGGAGGACCGAACCGACUAAUGUUGAAAAAUUAGCGGAUGACUUGUGGCUGGGGGUGAAAGGCCAAUCAAACCGGGAGAUAGCUGGUUCUCCCCGAAAGCUAUUUAGGUAGCGCCUCGUGAAUUCAUCUCCGGGGGUAGAGCACUGUUUCGGCAAGGGGGUCAUCCCGACUUACCAACCCGAUGCAAACUGCGAAUACCGGAGAAUGUUAUCACGGGAGACACACGGCGGGUGCUAACGUCCGUCGUGAAGAGGGAAACAACCCAGACCGCCAGCUAAGGUCCCAAAGUCAUGGUUAAGUGGGAAACGAUGUGGGAAGGCCCAGACAGCCAGGAUGUUGGCUUAGAAGCAGCCAUCAUUUAAAGAAAGCGUAAUAGCUCACUGGUCGAGUCGGCCUGCGCGGAAGAUGUAACGGGGCUAAACCAUGCACCGAAGCUGCGGCAGCGACGCUGAUGCGUUGUUGGGUAGGGGAGCGUUCUGUAAGCCUGUGAAGGUGUGCUGUGAGGCAUGCUGGAGGUAUCAGAAGUGCGAAUGCUGACAUAAGUAACGAUAAAGCGGGUGAAAAGCCCGCUCGCCGGAAGACCAAGGGUUCCUGUCCAACGUUAAUCGGGGCAGGGUGAGUCGACCCCUAAGGCGAGGCCGAAAGGCGUAGUCGAUGGGAAACAGGUUAAUAUUCCUGUACUUGGUGUUACUGCGAAGGGGGGACGGAGAAGGCUAUGUUGGCCGGGCGACGGUUGUCCCGGUUUAAGCGUGUAGGCUGGUUUUCCAGGCAAAUCCGGAGAAUCAAGGCUGAGGCGUGAUGACGAGGCACUACGGUGCUGAAGCAACAAAUGCCCUGCUUCCAGGAAAAGCCUCUAAGCAUCAGGUAACAUCAAAUCGUACCCCAAACCGACACAGGUGGUCAGGUAGAGAAUACCAAGGCGCUUGAGAGAACUCGGGUGAAGGAACUAGGCAAAAUGGUGCCGUAACUUCGGGAGAAGGCACGCUGAUAUGUAGGUGAAGCGACUUGCUCGUGGAGCUGAAAUCAGUCGAAGAUACCAGCUGGCUGCAACUGUUUAUUAAAAACACAGCACUGUGCAAACACGAAAGUGGACGUAUACGGUGUGACGCCUGCCCGGUGCCGGAAGGUUAAUUGAUGGGGUCAGCGCAAGCGAAGCUCUUGAUCGAAGCCCGGUAAACGGCGGCCGUAACUAUAACGGUCCUAAGGUAGCGAAAUUCCUUGUCGGGUAAGUUCCGACCUGCACGAAUGGCGUAAUGAUGGCCAGGCUGUCUCCACCCGAGACUCAGUGAAAUUGAACUCGCUGUGAAGAUGCAGUGUACCCGCGGCAAGACGGAAAGACCCCGUGAACCUUUACUAUAGCUUGACACUGAACACUGGUCCUUGAUGUGUAGGAUAGGUGGGAGGCUUUGAAGUGUGGACGCCAGUCUGCAUGGAGCCGUCCUUGAAAUACCACCCUUUAAUGGCUGGUGUUCUAACGUAGGCCCCUUAUCGGGGUUGCGGACAGUGUCUGGUGGGUAGUUUGACUGGGGCGGUCUCCUCCUAAAGAGUAACGGAGGAGCACGAAGGUUGGCUAAUCCUGGUCGGACAUCAGGAGGUUAGUGCAAUGGCAUAAGCCAGCUUGACUGCGAGCGUGACGGCGCGAGCAGGUGCGAAAGCAGGUCAUAGUGAUCCGGUGGUUCUGAAUGGAAGGGCCAUCGCUCAACGGAUAAAAGGUACUCCGGGGAUAACAGGCUGAUACCGCCCAAGAGUUCAUAUCGACGGCGGUGUUUGGCACCUCGAUGUCGGCUCAUCACAUCCUGGGGCUGAAGUAGGUCCCAAGGGUAUGGCUGUUCGCCAUUUAAAGUGGUACGCGAGCUGGGUUUAGAACGUCGUGAGACAGUUCGGUCCCUAUCUGCCGUGGGCGCUGGAGAACUGAGGGGGGCUGCUCCUAGUACGAGAGGACCGGAGUGGACGCAUCACUGGUGUUCGGGUUGUCAUGCCAAUGGCACUGCCCGGUAGCUAAAUGCGGAAGAGAUAAGUGCUGAAAGCAUCUAAGCACGAAACUUGCCCCGAGAUGAGUUCUCCCUGACCCUUUAAGGGUCCUGAAGGAACGUUGAAGACGACGACGUUGAUAGGCCGGGUGUGUAAGCGCAGCGAUGCGUUGAGCUAACCGGUACUAAUGAACCGUGAGGCUUAACCUU